This is a long non-coding RNA of Xyrauchen texanus (razorback sucker), 661 nucleotides long. RefSeq lists it as uncharacterized. NCBI's taxonomy places the organism in Eukaryota, Metazoa, Chordata, Actinopteri, Cypriniformes, Catostomidae. The record is from RefSeq and is a predicted model, not a curated record. The transcript has 3 exons.
CCACCUGUACAUGUAGUAGACCUAGAUAUAAAUGUCAUAGUUUAGUAGUUGAAGGACCAGGACUGACUACUUUAUUCUUUUAUUCUGGGAACCCCUGUAGGUGCAGAUCAAACCCUAAUGCUGCAACGUCUUGGAGUUUGGCGAUGUUGUGCGUAGCAUGGACAACAAAAUGCUAUGCUGCAACAUUUCAGUGCCAAUGUGUCUGUUGGAGAGUUAUCCCUGCCAGGGGAUCUGUUACUCCCCCCUAGACACCCAGGAAGAUUUGGCAUUGCUUGACAACAGUUUGAGGCAGGAUAAAGAGCUCCAGCAAUGAUUUCUUCGGUUUUUGGCAAUCAAAUGUGGGAGGGACCUAAAGACAACCGUGUGGCGAAUGCUUCAGAGUAUCUUCUCUAAUCACCUUUCCAUCAAUACAACCUGGACUGGUGUAGGGGAUAAAGCAUGUUUUAGAGACAUGUUCCUGAAGACCAUUGUUCAAAGAGCCAUCCGGAAGAACCCGGCAACCCAGGAUGCCACUGAUGAGGCGAUCCAGGUUAACGUUACGCGUUACCUGAAAGGAGCAUCUGAACAUGAAGGUGGAAAAAGGCGCCGCACAGCUGAGAGGGACCCACAGCCGACCCCUUAAACCUAGGCUGACUACUGACACCCCAGCAUCACUGACAAC